CCAGCACCCAACUUUACCACCCUCCCCCACCUCUCCCCCGAAACUCCAGCAACAAAGAAAAGUAGUCGGAGAAGGAGCGGCGACUCAGGGUCGCCCGCCCCUCCUCACCGAGGAAGGCCGGGUCUUGCUCUGUUGUCCGGGCCGUAGUGCAGUGGCACCAUCAUGGCUCACUUCUGCCUCAACCUUCUGGACUCAAGCAAACCUCCCACCUCAGCCUCUUGGAGUAGCUGGAACUACAGAGCGUCUGCCCUGUCCAAGGAGGUGAUAUGCACAGGGAGGAUGUUGGAAGCCACGACUGUAAACCAAGCUGACUGAUUUCCCU
This 322-nucleotide small RNA is filed under the name Homo sapiens (human). RNAcentral describes it as "RE1-silencing transcription factor variant E1a/N4a/E5 non-coding RNA". Lineage: Eukaryota; Metazoa; Chordata; Mammalia; Primates; Hominidae. The record is from RNAcentral.